GCAGGAAUAGCUUAAUGGCAGAGCACGUGCUUAGCAUGCACAAGGUUCUGGGUUUGAUCCCCAGUACCUCCA
RNAcentral lists this transfer RNA (72 nucleotides) under Camelus bactrianus (Bactrian camel). It matches the Rfam family "tRNA". Rfam says of the family: Transfer RNA (tRNA) molecules are approximately 80 nucleotides in length. Their secondary structure includes four short double-helical elements and three loops (D, anti-codon, and T loops). The record is from Rfam by way of RNAcentral. RNAcentral also lists the same sequence under 2 other names. Lineage: Eukaryota; Metazoa; Chordata; Mammalia; Artiodactyla; Camelidae.